RNAcentral lists this ribosomal RNA (460 nucleotides) under uncultured bacterium. RNAcentral describes it as "partial 16S ribosomal RNA". It matches the Rfam family "Bacterial small subunit ribosomal RNA", at positions 338 to 795 of the family's 1533-position model. The record is from RNAcentral.
CCUACGGGAGGCAGCAGUGAGGAAUAUUGGUCAAUGGGCGUAAGCCUGAACCAGCCAAGUCGCGUGAGGGAUGAAGGUUCUAUGGAUCGUAAACCUCUUUUAUAAGGGAAUAAAGUGCGGGACGUGUCCCGUUUUGUAUGUACCUUAUGAAUAAGGAUCGGCUAACUCCGUGCCAGCAGCCGCGGUAAUACGGAGGAUCCGAGCGUUAUCCGGAUUUAUUGGGUUUAAAGGGUGCGUAGGCGGCCUUUUAAGUCAGCGGUGAAAGUCUGUGGCUCAACCAUAGAAUUGCCGUUGAAACUGGGAGUCUUGAGUAUGUUUGAGGCAGGCGGAAUGCGUGGUGUAGCGGUGGAAUGCUUAGAUAUCACGCAGAACCCCGAUUGCGAAGGCAGCCUGCCAAGCCAUGACUGACGCUGAUGCACGAAAGCGUGGGUAUCGAACAGGAUUAGAUACCCCAGUAGUC